UACGGGGGGGGCAAGCGUUGUUCGGAAUUACUGGGCGUAAAGGGCUCGUAGGUGGUCAACUAAGUCGGACGUGAAAUCCCUCGGCUUAACCGGGGAACUGCGUCCGAUACUGGAUGACUUGAGUUCGGGAGAGGGAUGCGGAAUUCCCAGUGUAGCGGUGAAAUGCGUAGAUAUUGGGAGGAACACCAGUGGCGAAGGCGGUUCUCUGGGCAUGUCCUGACGCUGAGGAGCGAAAGUGUGGGGAGCGAACAGG
RNAcentral lists this ribosomal RNA (253 nucleotides) under uncultured bacterium. RNAcentral describes it as "partial 16S ribosomal RNA". It matches the Rfam family "Bacterial small subunit ribosomal RNA", at positions 524 to 776 of the family's 1533-position model. The record is from RNAcentral.